AGCGCAGGCGGUUUGAUAAGUCUGAAGUUAAAGGCUGUGGCUCAACCAUAGUUCGCUUUGGAAACUGUACAAACUUGAGUGCAGAAGGGGAGAGUGGAAUUCCAUGUGUAGCGGUGAAAUGCGUAGAUAUAUGGAAGAACACCAGUGGCGAAGGCGGCUGUCUGGUCUGUAACUGACGCUGAGGCUCGAAAGCAUGGGUAGCAAACA
RNAcentral lists this ribosomal RNA (207 nucleotides) under uncultured bacterium. Its description in RNAcentral is "partial 16S ribosomal RNA". It matches the Rfam family "Bacterial small subunit ribosomal RNA", at positions 568 to 774 of the family's 1533-position model. The record is from RNAcentral.